Non-coding RNA from Xylariaceae sp. FL1272, 109 nucleotides. Lineage: Eukaryota; Fungi; Ascomycota; Sordariomycetes; Xylariales; Xylariaceae. The record is from the annotation of a GenBank genome assembly.
GGUCGGUUAGCUCAGUUGGUAGAGCAUCGCAAUUACAUACAUCUCUAAUCCGUAGCAUACGGAGUACUAAGUACUGCGAAGGCCAUAGGUUCAAGCCCUAUACUGACCA